This 85-nucleotide transfer RNA is filed under the name Felis catus (domestic cat). It matches the Rfam family "tRNA". From Rfam's summary of the family: Transfer RNA (tRNA) molecules are approximately 80 nucleotides in length. Their secondary structure includes four short double-helical elements and three loops (D, anti-codon, and T loops). Further hydrogen bonds mediate the characteristic L-shaped molecular structure. tRNAs have two regions of fundamental functional importance: the anti-codon, which is responsible for specific mRNA codon recognition, and the 3' end, to which the tRNAs corresponding amino acid is attached (by aminoacyl-tRNA synthetases). tRNAs cope with the degeneracy of the genetic code in two manners: having more than one tRNA (with a specific anti-codon) for a particular amino acid; and 'wobble' base-pairing, i.e. permitting non-standard base-pairing at the 3rd anti-codon position. RNAcentral also lists the same sequence under 1 other name. Lineage: Eukaryota; Metazoa; Chordata; Mammalia; Carnivora; Felidae. The record is from Rfam by way of RNAcentral.
GCCUGGGUGACUCAGUCAGUUAAGCGUCUGACUUCAACUCAGGUCAUGAUCUCACAGUUCGUGGGUUCGAGCCCCGCAUCAGGCU